Amborella trichopoda is the source of this 77-nucleotide non-coding RNA. The record is from Rfam. NCBI's taxonomy places the organism in Eukaryota, Viridiplantae, Streptophyta, Magnoliopsida, Amborellales, Amborellaceae.
ACGAGCCAUAUGAGGUGAAAAUCUCAUGUACAGUUCUGUAGAGUGACAAGAAGUAUGACUUAUUUAUCAACUUUUCU